Dreissena polymorpha is the source of this 324-nucleotide long non-coding RNA. RefSeq lists it as uncharacterized. Lineage: Eukaryota; Metazoa; Mollusca; Bivalvia; Myida; Dreissenidae. The transcript is spliced from 3 exons. The record is from RefSeq and is a predicted model, not a curated record.
ACAACAUCCGCGAAUCUAGGUUAGUUGUGAAUUUAGGUGAGUCGACGAGACGUUGUAACUUACAACGCAGAAGGAUUAACAAGAAAGGAAGCAACGGCAACUAACUGGUACACAGUGUGAUUGUUGGUGUGAUGUAUAGAGAUUGCUGGUGCCAAUGAGUAGAGUGCAUUUAGACCCUCAGUUUGGAUGCGUGCUUAUUGUCAACAGUAUUAAAGAGUAACAGAAAUUGGUAACCGUGUUGCUCAAUAAAUCACUAAAGACUUACCAAGAACCCACCCCGACCGAGAGGAUUACUUUCCUGACUUAUUAAAGGGACAUAUUAGA